This 270-nucleotide ribosomal RNA is filed under the name Salmonella enterica subsp. enterica serovar Typhi. RNAcentral's name for it is "partial 16S ribosomal RNA". It matches the Rfam family "Bacterial small subunit ribosomal RNA", at positions 1265 to 1533 of the family's 1533-position model. Lineage: Bacteria; Pseudomonadati; Pseudomonadota; Gammaproteobacteria; Enterobacterales; Enterobacteriaceae. The record is from RNAcentral.
AAGCGGACCUCAUAAAGUGCGUCGUAGUCCGGAUUGGAGUCUGCAACUCGACUCCAUGAAGUCGGAAUCGCUAGUAAUCGUGGAUCAGAAUGCCACGGUGAAUACGUUCCCGGGCCUUGUACACACCGCCCGUCACACCAUGGGAGUGGGUUGCAAAAGAAGUAGGUAGCUUAACCUUCGGGGGGGGCGCUUACCACUUUGUGAUUCAUGACUGGGGUGAAGUCGUAACAAGGUAACCGUAGGGGAACCUGCGGUUGGAUCACCUCCUUA